Molecule: microRNA precursor, 61 nt
Filed under: Caenorhabditis brenneri
Lineage: Eukaryota; Metazoa; Nematoda; Chromadorea; Rhabditida; Rhabditidae
Description: microRNA cbn-mir-75 precursor
Gene: cbn-mir-75
Rfam family: mir-75 microRNA precursor family
Source: miRBase by way of RNAcentral
AGGUCGGUUGCAAGCUUCAAUACAUUUAUGAAAUUGAUAUUAAAGCUACCAACCGGCUUCA